Mesocricetus auratus (golden hamster) is the source of this 543-nucleotide long non-coding RNA. RefSeq lists it as uncharacterized. The record is from RefSeq and is a predicted model, not a curated record. Lineage: Eukaryota; Metazoa; Chordata; Mammalia; Rodentia; Cricetidae. The transcript is spliced from 3 exons.
UCAAGAUGUAACUGCCAUGGGGUAGGAAGCCCGGAAAGUUCUCCGCUGAUCGGCCGCAGAGACCCAGAAGGAAACCUCCGCCCCACGGAGCAGCCACAGUUCUGCACCUAACACAGGACUGCAUGCUGAAGAGAAACUUGCUACGGGGGGAGUCAGCAAUGAGAGAGACCAUUGUGGGGUACAGUUGUUCCUGGUUUUUCAUAUGCGGAACCAGAGGAUCAGCAACAUGAGGCAGCAUUGUGUGACCAUCAGAUCUUGUAUCCACACUCCAGCUCCAGGUCCCUUCCACUAGCCCACUUGUCACCUGUGUGACCGCAGCAAGGUGGGCAGCACUGGAUGUCCUUAUUCAGGGCCUUGACAACCUCCCCAACAACACAGAUGUGGGCAGCUGCUUCCAUCCCCGUUAUCUCUGUGGACUGAGCACUGUCUCUCCAACCCCCCAUGUGCAAACACAUCAGCUGGGAUCUUGUUACACAGUAGGUCCCAGUUCAGCGGGCCAGAGAAUGCAGCAAGAGUUUGCAUUUCUAACAAGCACCCAGGGCA